UGAGGAAAAAUGUAAACAAUGACGUCAGCAAAGAUUCGCCUAUAUGGGGCGAAGAAGAAAGAGUUCAUGGACUUGACUAUCAGGAUUCGAACUAGGCCAGUGCGCUUGUCAUGAGCACCUCUAAGGUAGAAGAUUCGCCAAACCUCAUGCUUCUGUCGUUUUCAAUUUACUAACUACCUUUUUCUUGCUGUUUCAGGGUCGGCGAUGUUUGAUUCAGACUCGGCCAAUUUUUCCCGCCCGGGUACAGCUGGGGAGGGAAGACCCUCCAGUCGGUGCAGCAGCCGCUCAAGAAUCGCUGAAGCCCGAGCAUUUGCUGCAGAACACUUUCACCCAGAACACAGCUGACACUUGGAACAUGUUGCAUCUUGUUGGAUUAGAGUUUAUUGCCUGAAAGAGCAGUCAGUGAAAAGAUAUUCAUAGAAAUGACAACAAGAAUGGUCUUUGAAAAUGUUUCUGUUGUCAAAGUCGCUCUGAACAUGUGUGAAGUACAAAUGCGAAAAAAUACGGAAAUUGUACUCUAUGGGCUUUGAACCGCGGAUAUUUAUGUUAAAUGUCACUUUGGAAAUUAUACGUUGUAAAUUAACUGUAGAGUGAGUAUUUUAAUUUUCUGUUCUUCGGUUUGGAAUACACUUUCAAACUUCGGAUAGAGAAAAUACUACAAGUUACAUCUCCACCUUGAGAAAUAAAAUACCCAAUAUUAAAGAA
Orbicella faveolata is the source of this 705-nucleotide long non-coding RNA. NCBI's taxonomy places the organism in Eukaryota, Metazoa, Cnidaria, Anthozoa, Scleractinia, Merulinidae. The record is from RefSeq and is a predicted model, not a curated record.